RNAcentral lists this ribosomal RNA (645 nucleotides) under Bacillus australimaris. RNAcentral's name for it is "bacterial SSU rRNA". It matches the Rfam family "Bacterial small subunit ribosomal RNA", at positions 43 to 671 of the family's 1533-position model. Lineage: Bacteria; Bacillati; Bacillota; Bacilli; Caryophanales; Bacillaceae. The record is from RNAcentral.
CGCUGCUAAUACAUGCAAGUCGAGCGGACAGAAGGGAGCUUGCUCCCGGAUGUUAGCGGCGGACGGGUGAGUAACACGUGGGUAACCUGCCUGUAAGACUGGGAUAACUCCGGGAAACCGGAGCUAAUACCGGAUAGUUCCUUGAACCGCAUGGUUCAAGGAUGAAAGACGGUUUCGGCUGUCACUUACAGAUGGACCCGCGGCGCAUUAGCUAGUUGGUGGGGUAAUGGCUCACCAAGGCAACGAUGCGUAGCCGACCUGAGAGGGUGAUCGGCCACACUGGGACUGAGACACGGCCCAGACUCCUACGGGAGGCAGCAGUAGGGAAUCUUCCGCAAUGGACGAAAGUCUGACGGAGCAACGCCGCGUGAGUGAUGAAGGUUUUCGGAUCGUAAAGCUCUGUUGUUAGGGAAGAACAAGUGCGAGAGUAACUGCUCGCACCUUGACGGUACCUAACCAGAAAGCCACGGCUAACUACGUGCCAGCAGCCGCGGUAAUACGUAGGUGGCAAGCGUUGUCCGGAAUUAUUGGGCGUAAAGGGCUCGCAGGCGGUUUCUUAAGUCUGAUGUGAAAGCCCCCUGCUCAACCGGGGAGGGUCAUUGUAAACUGAGGAAUUUGAGUGCAGACGAGGAGAGUGUAAGUCCU